RNAcentral lists this long non-coding RNA (2341 nucleotides) under Homo sapiens (human). Its description in RNAcentral is "HSALNT0229461". Lineage: Eukaryota; Metazoa; Chordata; Mammalia; Primates; Hominidae. The record is from RNAcentral.
GAACGUGUGUUCUCAUGCUGACCGUGAAACUGAAGUCAUACACCUGGGCAGCUGCUGGGCCCACAUGUGCUAGGUUCUGCGGGGUCUGGUCAGAUCUGGGAGGCCUAGCUUGGAGGCGGCUUUCCUAGGCCACCCCAGGCAAAGAAGAGCUGCUUCAGGGUCCCCAACCUGCGCCACCCGCUCAGGGCUCCCCCCACCAGGUGAGCUGGACCCUGGGGGUCUCCACAGACACCUCAGCUAGUCCUGACCUGCUGGCCAGACGCCCACCAGCCCUGCCUUCCAGAGGGCCCCGCUACAUCGUCUUCAUACCCCAGGGCCUCCCAGCCGCCCCACCUGCAGGGCUGCUAGAACUUUCUCCCGAGACAAAGCCUGCCAUUGUGCCUCCCUGGAGCCCGUCUCUGCAGUGGGGGGCAGGGUGUGUUGAGCGUCCCGGGUCCAGUGUCUCCGGCGUGUCCUGCAUCUCGGCAGCCAGCUCCUCUGCAGCUCAGGCCCCGUGAGUCACAGCCGCUUCCUCAAAUGCUUUGGCUGACCGCAUCCCCCCGCUCCGCCAGAACCCUGGAUGCCGGAGCCCUCCCAGCGAGAGCCGUGUUUAUUUUACUUUACAUACAUUUUCCAACCCGGAGCGGCUUCAACACAUGCAGCUCUUAGGCCCGGGCCGCACAUCUCAGAAGCCCCGUGUGCGACUUUGACUGCCGCACGAUCCUCUGCCGGGGGAGGUGGGCCCGCUGCGCUUUGGGAGCACCCGCGCCCGACACUGAGGUCUCGGUGCUGUCUUCGGCCUCUUCGCCCCUGAGGGUCCCCUCUGGGAGCAGAGGCGGUCGGAAAACCCUGGGGCUGAAGUGCAGGCUUCGGGAGGACGCGACCUGCCAAGAUCAGCUCCCGGCACGUGAUGGGAGCCUGGCUCACCUUCCCCCAGCACACGAUGGGGCUGCAGCCUCCCCGGUCAGCCUGGCCUGCUGGAAAGGAGCAGCUCUGUCUCCAGAGGCUUCUGGCGAAGCCCAUGGCCUCCCAAUGUUGGCUGAUUUAUAAGGAAAGAGGGGAAAGGCCAAGUGUGGAUGCCAUUAGCAUAACCUAAUCCAGACCCCAUGACAAGUCCAGGAUCCUGCAGGGAGAGGGCAUCCUUGAACGUGAAGGACUGGGUUUGGAAACUUGGCCUCCCGGAAGAAAGGUCUCCGGGCCCACCCACACCCCCCUUGUGGACGCCCCCGCAGUCUAAUACACUCCACAGUAAGACGGACCAGGAACAGCAGCAGCCUCCGGUGUCGGCCCAGUGAUCCGGGAGCUCAGAGUCUUUGCGUCCUCCAGAAUUGUCCUGUGAGUGACUCCCGCAGGAUGGAGACUUUUGUGUCUGGCUUCCUUCACUUCGCAGCAGGCUUCGCGGGACCCGUGUGGUGGCACCAGCGUCCAGCCCUUGGUACUGCUGAGUUGUAGGUUGUGGGACAGGUGGAGGUACCACAGUUGCUCACGGGUUCACCUGUGGAUGGGCAUGUGGGCUGUUGUGAGUGAAGCCACUUCAGACGUUUGCGUGCAGGUUUGGUGGGGACGUGCAGUUUCAUUUCUUUUGAGAGUGGGAUUGCUGGAGCCUAUGUUAAGGGUACGUUCAACUCAUCAGCUCAACUGUCUUCCAAAUGGCAGCCCCGUUUUCCACCCCCGCCAGCAACGCCCGCGACUCCAGGCGCGCUGCAUUUUCAUCAGCACCUGGCAGUGGUGAUUCAUAAUGCUUUAAAUGUUAAUUUCCCUCAUGACUAGUGAUGUUAAACAUCUUAUUAAACAUCUUAGGUAUUAUUUCAUGUGUUAUUUCAAAUCUUUUACCUACUUUUUAGUGGAUUAUAUUUGUCUUCUUAGUAUUGAGUUCUAAGAGUUAAAUAUUGUGGGUACAAGUCCUCUAUCAGAAAUGUGUUUUGUAAAUACUUUCUUCUAGUCUGUGGUUUGUCUCUUCGUUUUCUUAAGUAUGUCUUUAAAGAGCAGAGGCUUUUGAUUUGGAUAAAGUUCAGCUUGUCAGUUUUUUCUUUUAGGGUUAUGUUUUUGUAUCCUAUCUAAGAAUCUUUGACUAUCAAAUUCUCACAAAGCAGUUUUUUGUUUUCUUCUAGAUGUUUUACGGUUUUAAAUUUUACCUUUAGGUCUACAACCAUUGUGAUUUAGAUUUUGUAUUUAAUGUAAGGUAUAAGUUGAGAUUCAUUUCUCUCUGUUUUUGGAGACUUAUGUCCAGCUAUUCCAGAACCAUUUGUUGGAAAGAGUAUCUUUAUCCCAACAAGUUAUGUGGGCACUUUGUUGAAAAAGAUCUAUUGACCAUAUAUACAUGCGUUUAUUUCCAAGACUCUAUUUUGUUCUGUUGACCGAC